GGUCAGGAUUGGAGAAGCUUAUUACGUACGUUUCUUUUACUCUCUCUCUCUCUCUCUCUCUCUCUUAAUCUCUCAUCCAUCGAUCCUUCUCUCAUUCGUAAACCCUAAAAGUCGAAUCGCCUCUUCAGAAGCUCAAUCAAUCGACCCUGUGCGACAACGAUUAAUCCAUCUUCAAUACUCAAUAGUGAAUAUCGACGGUAUAUAUUUGAUGAUGUUCAGUUCAUAUCUGAGAACAAUGUCUGGCAAUUAUUAGAGCCAGAUGUGAAAACUUGCUGGAGAAAAGAUUCCGGUGUACCUACCGGCGAGUACGAACCGUUUCCUAAACAGUGGAAGUGAUUUCUCUAAUGGAGUUUAAUGCUUUGCAAAGUUUAUUUCAGGGUUUGUGACUACAAAUCGGAUACAUGACCCCAAUUUUUCCGAGAAUGAAUUUUUUUUGUUAUUAAAAUUUAGCUUAAUCGACGGGGAUGUUUCGAAUCGACCAAUGGAAUAAUCUUGGAAGUGAAGCCAUUGCUGUCCAACUGUUAGAUCAGGUUCAUCGUUUAGGGUCCCAAAGGUAUGAUUUCAUUUUCUAACUAACUAGGGUUUUCAUUCCAUUCUGUAUUUUACUCAUUUGAUAGACCCUUUUUUGAUCUCCCAUUCAUUCCAUUCUAUAACUGAAACAUGGGUUCAUUCCAUAUUCAAUAUCAUAACUGAAAUCCUGGGUUCAUUCCAAAAUUGAAGCGGUAAGUUACAAAACUUGAAGUCGGGUUUCAUUCAAAAUCUCAAAUCGCCAAUUAUUUAAAUCAAUAAAAAAGAUGGUAGUUGUAUAAUCAAUAAUCCUGGGUUCAUUCCAUAAUCAGUUUGUUUGUAAGAGUGUCUUUUGUGCCAUUGGAAUUUUUUUGGCUAGACAGUGAAAUUUGGUAUCAUAGAUUGACCACCUUUUACAAUGAUGAUAUGAUUAAAAAAAUAAAAAUAAGAGGUUGACAUAUGACAAUGGGCAGGUGUUGAUCAAAUAUGCAGAACUUACUGAGAAGGAAAAGGUUAGAUCUUUUCAUGUGAAAUUCAUUUUUAUAUUUAUGAGUGGAAUUUGGGUUUGUGGGUUGGGACAUUAUUUCAAAAUCCUUCAUGGAGUAAUGAGAGUAGAUUGGGUGAGGUAGGAUGAUAAGAGGAUAUUUAGGGAUGGUUGCGUGAUAGGAAGGAAGUUGGAGCUUUUUCUGCUGUACGUACAUUUGUAUCAUUUUCCGUUUUUUGGUAGUUGUAUAUAUAUAUCAUCGAAAUUCGAUUACAUAUGUGUUUCUUUUCUGGCCCGUAUUCCUUUGAGCUGGAAUUCUUGAUUUGAUUUCUUUCGUAAUGUUUGUUUUUUUAUCUUAAGUUUUUGUUUUUUCGAUUAGGUUUGCUGGUGCUCUUCUUCAUUAAUGGCUGCUCAAUUGAUGUUCUUCUUAACCUGGAUUAUGCUUGGUAUGUUUGGAUUUUUAUGUUAUUAUUUGUGUAUCUUAUGUUUUUGUUUGUUAAAACAGGUUUGCUGUUUUGGUGACAUAGCCACAAUUGUGACGGUGGUUCGCGGUGGUUAAUAGCCGCACCUUUGGGUUGCGGUACAAGGGAGAUUGGUGGUGACGACUGCAGCGAGGUUCCAAGUAGCCGAUUUCGGCCCCAACGAGUGAAUCCCUGUCGUUGGUAGGGUUGGUCGUCAGUGCCGGUGGUGUUCGUCAUCGACGUUGUCUUCGUGCAUGCAGUAAAAGUUGUUGAAACUGUCUUCUUUCGAGAACAUUACAAGGGGCUGUCAAUUGCGAAUGAAGGAAGGUAGAGGUGGGAGGACAGCUUGAUUGAAAUCCGUAAGAACAACAGAGGAAAUUCGAAAUACCUUUAUGUAGCGCCAAAGUUAAACAUUAACGAUGCUUCGAUUCGAUCUCUGCUGGCGUAUUCAUAUAUUCUAAUUCAUAGGAAAUUCAUGGUUUUUGUUUCUUUUUUAGUUAUUUAUAUUAGUUCAUAUAUUUUAAUUCGUCUUCUCUAAAGAUACGGAAGUUGCUAAAACAGCAAGAAAACAAGUUUAAGAAGCAAUACACUCGGCAUCAUUCGACAUGAAUGUUCCUGCUGUUUGUGUAGUCAGCCAGACAUUGGCUUGGCGUUUAGAUGCUCCUAAUCUUUAAAACUACCAUGUAUAGUUUCUUAGUGUUUCUCACCGGUUGCAUCUAAUGGACUUAAUUAACGCGGCAACGCCUACUACCUGAUCUUCUCAUCCAGGGUAUUGCCAUGGGAGACAUGAGAUGGGAUAAGAUUGAAGGGAAUUGGAUUUAAGUUGUUUACUAAUGUGUGAUAUCUAGAACAAGCUGACAUUAAAGACAUUUGUUUUACACCUGAAUAUUUAAAAGAGUCUAAAAUAGGUUAUGCCUAAAAAGUGUAAAUUUCCUCCAAAGUAAGAUAAUGAAAAGUAUACAUGCGAAGGACAGUCACGGGAGUUUUUACAAACAUGCUGGCUGGAAACAUAGAUGCCGACUAAUCUACUCA
This is a long non-coding RNA of Helianthus annuus (common sunflower), 2484 nucleotides long. RefSeq lists it as uncharacterized. Lineage: Eukaryota; Viridiplantae; Streptophyta; Magnoliopsida; Asterales; Asteraceae. The transcript has 8 exons. The record is from RefSeq and is a predicted model, not a curated record.